GUCAUUAAAUUAAAUGAGCGGAACAUGAACAUCAACCUGGAGCUGCUGCCUUUCACAUUUCCCAACGCCCACUUGCAACACUAUGGUAUCUCUUUAACCACUCCGCUCUGACUCGAGGAGAGAGAGAAAAAAUAUCCCCCCCUUUUCUGGCAACCCUUCCUGGUGAGCAUUGCAUGCUUGUGCGACUGAGUAGUCUACCCGAGAGCAGAGCGCCGCGCAAUAACAAACCCAGUCCUCUGCUCCGACUGCCAGGCGUAAAGAGGCAUUUAUCUCUUGGAAGCACCGCAAACGAGCAGAGAGAGCCCAGAUACCCCGCACUCGGUUCGGACAUGAGCCCGGGGAUCCGGAGAUGAGGCUCCGAAAUGGCACCUUCCUAACGGUCGUAUUGUUUGGUCUAUGCGGACUCAUUUCGCUCUCCUGGUACACGGCAUUCAGCAAUUCCAAAGGUGAUGUGGUGGACAUUUACCAGCGGGAGUUUCUGGCCCUGAGAGAGCGUCUGCACUCUGCCGAGCAGGAGAACCUGAAGCGAUCCAAGGAGCUCAACCUGGUGCUGGACGAGAUCAAGAGGGCCAUCGCUGAAAAGCAGGCCCUUAGGGACAUCAAUCGCACCUGGGCCAGCCUAUCUGCUGACCCAUGUAUUCUUCCAUCACAGUAAGAAUGUGCUCCAGCUGCCCAGUAUCUCCAUCACCUGCCCCAUCUCCUUGCGAAGGAGAGCAGCCUGCAGCCUGCUGUGCACGUGGGCCAGGGACGCACCGGGGUGUCGAUCGUGAUGGGUGUGCCCAGUGUGAAGAGGGAGGUCCACUCGUACCUGACGGACACCCUCAGCUCUCUGAUGACAGAGCUCAGUGCGGCAGAGAAGGAGGACUGUGUCAUUGUGGUCUUCAUAGCUGAGACGGACCAACAGUACGCCAACAGCGUGGCUGACAACCUCAAGCGCCUGUUUCCAGUGGAGAUCCAGUCAGGUCUUCUGGAAGUCAUAUCUCCGUCUGUCCACUUCUACCCCGACUUCUCCCGCCUCAAAGAGUCCUUCGGAGACCCCAAGGAGAGGGUCAGAUGGCGGACGAAGCAGAAUUUGGAUUACUGCUUUCUCAUGAUGUACGCCCAGUCUAAAGGGACCUACUAUGUGCAGCUGGAGGAUGACAUUGUUGCGCGUCCAAAUUACUUCACCACGAUGAAGAACUUUGCCCUGCAGCAGCCUUCUGAGGAGUGGAUGAUCUUGGAGUUCUCCCAGCUGGGCUUCAUCGGUAAGAUGUUCAAGUCCGUGGACCUGUCGCUGAUCGUUGAGUUUAUGCUAAUGUUCUACAAGGACAAGCCAAUUGAUUGGUUGCUGGAUCACAUCAUGUGGGUUAAGGUGUGCAACCCAGAGAAGGACGCGAAACACUGCGACAGGCAGAAGGCCAACCUGAGAAUUCGCUUCAAGCCCUCUCUCUUCCAGCAUGUGGGCACCCACUCUUCCCUGGCCGGAAAGAUCCAGAAACUCAAGGACAAGGACUUUGGCAAGCAGACCCUGCACAAGGGCCACGCCAACCCGCUGGCGGAGGUGACCACCAGCCUGAAGACCUACCAGCACUUCACCCUGGAGAAGGCCUACCUGGGAGAGGACUUCUUCUGGGCCUUCACCCCUGUGGCUGGGGACUUCAUCCGCAUCCGCUUCUUCACGCCCGUCCGCAUCGAAAGGUAUUUCUUCCGUAGCGGGAAUAUUGAGCACCCUGGGGACAAGCUGUUCAACACCACUGUGGAGGUGCUGCCUUUUGACAAUAUCCAAUCAGAAAAAGAGGCCUUGAAAGAGGGGAGAGAGAAAACACCAAAGUACCACAGAACAGAGGACGGCUUUAUCAGAAUAGGAGUGUUCCAUAAUGGGAUCGCCGAGGGAGAGGUGGAUCCCACAUUCGGGCCCCUGGAAGCCCUUCGUCUCUCUGUGAUCACAGACUGCCCCGUCUGGGUCAUCCUGAGCGAGAUAUUCAUCAAGAAAGCAGAGUGAAUGUCAUCACCCCGCAGCAAUACCUCAGUCAUCCGUUCGACCGUUCGACAGAGGAAUGAAGCCUUUGAAAGCUAUACUCAUUCCCUGGCUUUUGGCAAUUAGUUUCUCGAGCGUAGUCGGAGUGCGCCAUCUGUUGGCGAGAUCUUGCCAUCGCAGGGUCCUUCUGGGACUGUCAACUCAAUCCACGGUUGACAGACCGUGUGGGAAGAUCUUCCCAGACACGCGUAAUCGGAGAACGCGCCCUGCGUGAACGACACAAAGACGACGCUGUAUUUAGGAAACUGUAUUUAUGUGUACAUAAAGGUUUAUGUUUGAAAUAAUUGUAAUUACACUGGUAAUUGUCAAAUAGCUCGCAAGAUUGUUUAGCUCCUUUUGAUGACAUUAUGACAAUUAAAUGUUGCUGCUUCGGAAUCAAAGACUUGGCCUACAACGUUACCAAGAUACAGGUAUGUCUGAAUUGUGCAACUUCAAUAACUGAUAAUCAUGUUUGACAAAUGUUACUGGUUUUACCCAAAUGUAUUCCCAGUAGGCAGAAUCUACCGCACACUCAUAGUUGAUUUGUGAAGGUGCUGGAGGCAAAAGGCAAAACUGGAGAAGCAGGAAAUAGUCUCCGCACACAAAAAUGUAUUUUAUUGUGGCUGAGCUUUCGGGCAGUCGAUCAAAUGUAUUCAGAAAAUACCUAUGUAUGUGGAUAUAGGCCUAAUAUGCAUAUUUAUGUAACACAAUCAUAUGAAUGAUCUCUAUUAUGUGUGUUGAUAUGUAUUUACAGUGAGUGUCCACAAAAGUCAGUCAGAAAAGUAGCCGAGGCCUAUACAGUGUAGAUGGAAAUAGAACUUUAGCCAGAAAGUACACACAUGUCUAAUGUUUGAAUAAAAUAUCUUUAUAUGGUCAAUUCUAAAGCCAGAAGUCAAUGUAGGCACAUUAUGAUUAUGGUUCCAACAUCUGUUUGAGAUUUAUUUCAUGAACCAUCUUCCCUAACAUUGUUUUUUCCCCUUCUCCGCCUAUCAAUUUGCCUUAAUGUGACAUGAAGUUAACCAGGUUGUGGGGAUAAAUCAACGUAAGGCAAGGCCAGACACAAGCUACUCAAUUGCAUUAGCUAGGGAACUGGAAAAGACAGCGGCCUCCAUAAUACAGGAAACAUUUCUGAUUUACAGGAAACAUAUCUGUUGGAUUUUCUAUGUCUGCCACAUAUCAGAUACACAAGGUUAGUUGUAAUCCAAGGAGCCACAUAUCAGAUACACAAGGUUAGUUGUAAUCCAAGGAGCCACAUAUCAGAUACACAAGGUUAGUUGUAAUCCAAGGAGCCACAUAUCAGAUACACAAGGUUAGUUGUAAUCCAAGGAGCCACAUAUCAGAUACACAAGGUUAGUUAUAAUCCAAGGAGCCACAUAUCAGAUACACAAGGUUAGUUGUAAUCCAAGGAGCCACAUAUCAGAUACACAAGGUUAGUUGUAAUCCAAGGAGCCACAUAUCAGAUACACAAGGUUAGUUGUAAUCCAAGGAGCCACAUAUCAGAUACACACGUGGAGUAAUUGUCUGGACUAGUCGGAUGUAAGAGAAAUAUGUAGCUCUAAUCAAUGCACGAAGAAUCAUCUUUACUUCUCAGUAGAAUCUAUGUUUCUCAUAAUGACCAUGAAGAAGUCAAGGAAGGACCCCUCUCUUCCACUCAAGUGAGGUCUCAUGAGAGAGUGAAACUGUCCAAUAUGACAACCCCUCUCAUUCCACAUGUUCUGCACUACUACUAUAACGAAUUGAUGGUGGAAUGUAUUAAAGUACUGUAAUUGUCCUGACACCAGACUUAUACAUCUUCCAAACAGGCUCUGUGACGGCAAGGGCCAAACUCAAGUUCUAUGUAUUGUUAGAUGCAAAGUAUUUUGCAGUUAAAGGGACACAUUAAUUUGCUUUUGCAUACUUGGAUCCAAAAAACAUUCCUUUAUCAGAGCCCAACCGAAAAACCAUUGAAAACCCUUGAUCGAAAUCUAAAGAGUUGUCGGCACAGAACAGGAGUAUGGGAUUUCAGCCAAUACAAGUGUACUGAAAGCGAAAUUAAACUUGGGGACUUUUAACUCAGAAGCGAGGUGGCUUUUCUAUCGAAUAGAGAAUGCAACAUUGAUUCUGAUUCUGCUCAAUGUUAACACAGUUUCUCAGCAACAACUGACCUAAACUUGCUUUCCAUUUAUUGGGGUGUGCACUCCAGUAAACAAGCUGUUUUAGGAGCCCCUUCGUUGCUAUCGGUAUGGCCACUAUACAGUAGCAGGUGCGUGGGUGCAUUAAGUCAACGUAGGGCUAUGGAUAGAAAAAUCUGAACUGUACCCAAUGAGCUAAGAAGGAGAAAGAGUUGUCUUUUCUUGUAAGGUGCACUGGAAUGCAUUGCUAUUAUAUGUUGUAUUUUGUAUAAUUUAGAUAAACUAUAUUUAAUGAUGUUAUCUAUCCAUUCAUUGAAUUGUAAUAAAGACGGAAUUUCAAUUGACA
Molecule: RNA transcript, 4453 nt
Organism: Oncorhynchus gorbuscha (pink salmon)
Lineage: Eukaryota; Metazoa; Chordata; Actinopteri; Salmoniformes; Salmonidae
Gene name: alpha-1,3-mannosyl-glycoprotein 4-beta-N-acetylglucosaminyltransferase B-like
Exons: 15
Source: RefSeq, a predicted model, not a curated record